RNAcentral lists this ribosomal RNA (210 nucleotides) under uncultured bacterium. Its description in RNAcentral is "partial 16S ribosomal RNA". It matches the Rfam family "Bacterial small subunit ribosomal RNA", at positions 1290 to 1500 of the family's 1533-position model. The record is from RNAcentral.
AGUUCGGAUUGAAGGCUGAAAUUCGCCUUCAUGAAGUCGGAAUUGCUAGUAAUGGCAGGUCAGCAUACUGCCGUGAAUACGUUCCCGGGCCUUGUACACACCGCCCGUCACACCAUGAGAGUUGGAGAUACCCGAAGCCUAUGAGCUAACUUUUAGAGGCAGUAGUCGAAGGUAGAAUCAAUGAUUGGGGUGAAGUCGUAACAAGGUAAC